CUACGGAGGGUGCAAGCGUUAAUCGGAAUUACUGGGCGUAAAGCGUACGUAGGCGGUUCGUUAAGUUAGAUGUGAAAGCCCCGGGCUUAACCUGGGAACUGCAUUUAAAACUGGCGAACUAGAGUUGAGUAGAGGGGAGUGGAAUUUCAGGUGUAGCGGUGAAAUGCGUAGAGAUCUGAAGGAACACCAGUGGCGAAGGCGACUCCCUGGACUCGAACUGACGCUGAGGUACGAAAGCGUGGGUAGCAAACGGGAUUAGAUACCCCAGUAGUCC
This 274-nucleotide ribosomal RNA is filed under the name uncultured bacterium. Its description in RNAcentral is "partial 16S ribosomal RNA". It matches the Rfam family "Bacterial small subunit ribosomal RNA", at positions 523 to 796 of the family's 1533-position model. The record is from RNAcentral.